RNAcentral lists this ribosomal RNA (406 nucleotides) under uncultured bacterium. RNAcentral's name for it is "partial 16S ribosomal RNA". It matches the Rfam family "Bacterial small subunit ribosomal RNA", at positions 30 to 526 of the family's 1533-position model. The record is from RNAcentral.
AUUGAACGCUGGCGGCAGGCCUAACACAUGCAAGUCGAACGAGUGGCGGACGGGUGAGAAAUGUCUGGGAAACUGCCUGAUGGAGGGGGAUAACUACUGGAAACGGUAGCUAAUACCGCAUACCAUCGGAUGUGCCCAGAUGGGAGGAGCUUGUAGGUGGGGUAACGGCUCACCUAGGCGACGAUCCCUAGCUGGUUGGAGAGGAUGACAAGCCACACUGGAACUGUGACACGGUCCAGACUCCUACGGGAGGCAGCAGGGGGGAAUAUUGCACAAUGGGCGCAAGCCUGAUGCAGCCAUGCCGCGUGUGUGAAGAAGGCCUUCGGGUUGUAAAGCACUUUCAGCGGGGAGGCGUUACCCGCAGAAGAAGCACCGGCUAACUCCGUGCCAGCAGCCGCGGUAAUUC